This 66-nucleotide transfer RNA is filed under the name Melanesthes exilidentata. RNAcentral's name for it is "tRNA-Trp". The record is from RNAcentral. Lineage: Eukaryota; Metazoa; Arthropoda; Insecta; Coleoptera; Tenebrionidae.
AAGGAUUUAAGUUAAGCAAACUAACAACCUUCAAAGUUGUAAAUAGAAAAACAAUUCUAAGCCUUG